This 954-nucleotide ribosomal RNA is filed under the name uncultured archaeon. RNAcentral's name for it is "bacterial SSU rRNA". It matches the Rfam family "Archaeal small subunit ribosomal RNA", at positions 1 to 934 of the family's 1478-position model. The record is from RNAcentral.
UUUUCCGGUUGAUCCCGCCGGACCCCACUGCUAUCGAGGUGGGACUAAGCCAUGCUAGUUGAACGACCCGGACUAUGGCGGGGAGUAGCAGACUGCUCAGUAACACGUAGCUAACCUACCCUUGGGACAGGGAUACCCCCGGGAAACUGGGGACAAUCCCCGAUAGGCGUGGAUUCCUGGAAUGGUUCCACACCCAAAUGUUGUGCACCCAUGUCGUGCGCGUACGCCCAAGGAUGGGGCUGCGGUCGAUCAGGCCGUUGGUGGGGUAAUGGCCCACCAAACCUUUGACCGGUACGGGCCAUGAGAGUGGUAGCCCGGAGAUGGACACUGAGACAAGGGUCCAGGCCCUACGGGGCGCAGCAGGCGCGAAACCUCCACAAUUCACGAAAGUGAGAUGGGGUUACCUCGAGUGCCGUCUGAAAAAGGCGGCUUUUCCAUUGUGUAAUGAGCCGUGAGAAUAAGGGGGGGGCAAGACUGGUGUCAGCCGCCGCGGUAACACCAGCCCCCCGAGUGGUGGGGACGUUUACUUGGCCUAAAGCGUCCGUAGCCGGCUGGGUAAAUCUCUCGUUAAAUCCAGCGUCCUAAGCGUUGGGCUGCGAGGGAGACUGUCCAGCUAGAGGGUGGGAGAGGUCAGCGGUAUUCCUGGGGUAGGGGCGAAAUCCAUUGAUCCCAGGAGGACCACCAGUGGCGAAGGCUGCUGACUAGAACACGCCUGACGGUGAGGGACGAAAGCUGGGGUAGCGAAUCGGAUUAGAUACCCGAGUAGUCCCAGCCGUAAACGAUGCAGGCUAGGUGUUGGGCCGGCCACGCGCCGGCUCAGUGCCACAGGGAAGCCAUUAAGCCUGCCGCCUGGGAAGUACGGUCGCAAGGCUGAAACUUAAAGGAAUUGGCGGGGGAGCACCACCAGGCGUGAAGCCUGCGGUUUAAUUGGAUUCAACGCCGGAAAUCACUAGU